AGAGUUUGACCAUGGCUCAGAACGAACGCUGGCGGCAGGCUUAACACAUGCAAGUCGAACGCUCGUAGCAAUACGGGAGUGGCGGACGGGUGAGUAACGCGUGGGAACGUGCCCUGAGGUACGGAAUAACUGAGGGAAACUUCAGCUAAUACCGUAUGAGCCCGAGAGGGGGAAAGAUUUAUCGCCUUGGGAGCGGCCCGCGUCGGAUUGGCUAGUUGGUGGGGUAACGGCCUACCAAGGCUUCGAUCCGUAGCUGGUCUGAGAGGACGAUCAGCCACACUGGGACUGAGACACGGCCCAGACUCCUACGGGAGGCAGCAGUGGGGAAUCUUGCGCAAUGGGGGCAACCCUGACGCAGCCAUGCCGCGUGAACGAUGAAGGCCUUAGGGUUGUAAAGUUCUUUUACCCGUGACGAUGAUGACGGUAACGGGGGAAUAAGCUCCGGCUAACUUCGUG
RNAcentral lists this ribosomal RNA (456 nucleotides) under uncultured bacterium. RNAcentral's name for it is "bacterial SSU rRNA". It matches the Rfam family "Bacterial small subunit ribosomal RNA", at positions 8 to 507 of the family's 1533-position model. The record is from RNAcentral.